UACGUAGGGUGCGAGCGUUGUCCGGAAUUAUUGGGCGUAAAGAGCGCGUAGGCGGUCCGCUAAGUCGGCUGUGAAAGUCAGGGGCUCAACCCUUGGAAGCCGGCCGAUACUGUCGGACUAGAGUACGGAAGAGGCAAGUGGAAUUCCUGGUGUAGCGGUGGAAUGCGCAGAUAUCAGGAGGAACACCUAUAGCGAAGGCAGCUUGCUGGGACGUUACUGACGCUAAGGCGCGAAAGCGUGGGGAGCGAACAGG
RNAcentral lists this ribosomal RNA (253 nucleotides) under uncultured bacterium. RNAcentral describes it as "partial 16S ribosomal RNA". It matches the Rfam family "Bacterial small subunit ribosomal RNA", at positions 524 to 776 of the family's 1533-position model. The record is from RNAcentral.